Molecule: long non-coding RNA, 900 nt
Organism: Aedes albopictus (Asian tiger mosquito)
Lineage: Eukaryota; Metazoa; Arthropoda; Insecta; Diptera; Culicidae
Exons: 3
Source: RefSeq, a predicted model, not a curated record
UAUUUGGGUUUCAUAUGCAUUACCCAUAAUAUGGGUAAAAUAUACCUUUGAAAAACGGUCAAAUUUGCCCAUAUUAUAGGUAAAAUCGCUAUACCCAAACAUGGGUAAAUGAACUUACCCAUAUUUGGAUGAAAAUUUUCAAGUUAGCAACUUUUCUCGGAAUGCAUUAGUGCGCCAUCAUAACCAGGGAGGGUGCAGGCACGUCAAACUCGAACAAACUACGCCUACCUAACAUGCAUCGAGCGGGCCUUCCCAAACAACACAAUGCGAUUUCGCGGGCCACCCCCAUCGACAAAACAAACCGAUUUCCAAGCAGGAUUCGACUAGACUUCUGGUCGCGUUGCCAGUCACACUAACACACUCGCAAAAGAUGAGCAGUAGGCCUACCUUGCCGCAUGCGGAUCCCCUGAUCAUAACACUAUCGGGAAAUUUUAGAUAUUUUGAUUUUCACGGCACCGCUAUAGCCAGUCGAGGCCCUUCAGCAUCGGGUUCAAUGACCGAUACCGCGUCCAUCGGAUUCCCACGCGGAUUAGAGUCGAGGUUCCCAAAUACAUUGAUAUUUUAAUCGGUUUGGUACUCGAAGAUAAUACAGGAGCAACAAAUCAUCAUGUGGAGCUACAAGAAAGGCUACAAAAGCAUGGAAUUUGCAGUUCCGACUGCACCAAGGCUUCAAGCGCCGGAAGAACGAGGAACGGAAGAACAGGAACAACUGCGCGAUGAACAACAGCCGGAGGGGAAAAUUUCAUACAUGGAUCAUUAUGAAAACUUCAAAGAGCUACGUCUCGGAAGGUCUGUUUUCCAGGAGGAAAAUGAUUAAGAGUAUUUGAAACAUGUAAAAAUUCAUUAAUAAUUUUCGUAGAUUGCAAUAAACUACAAAAUAAACGCAAAAUUUUGUAUGAA